This 345-nucleotide unclassified non-coding RNA is filed under the name soil metagenome. Its description in RNAcentral is "partial contains 5.8S ribosomal RNA, internal transcribed spacer 2, and large subunit ribosomal RNA". The stretch from base 1 to 120 matches the Rfam family "5.8S ribosomal RNA", at positions 35 to 154 of the family's 154-position model. The record is from RNAcentral.
GAUGAAGAACGUAGCGAAAUGCGAUAAGUAAUGUGAAUUGCAGAAUUCAGUGAAUCAUCGAGUUUUUGAACGCAUAUUGCGCCCCCUGGUAUUCCGGGGGGCAUGCCUGUCCGAGCGUCAUUGCUGCCCUCAAGCACGGCUUGUGUGUUGGGCCUCCGUCCUCCUCCCGGGGGACGGGCCCGAAAGGCAGCGGCGGCACCGCGUCCGGUCCUCGAGCGUAUGGGGCUUCGUCACCCGCUCUUGUAGGCCCGGCCGGCGCUUGCCGACACAUCAAUCUUUUUUCCAGGUUGACCUCGGAUCAGGUAGGGAUACCCGCUGAACUUAAGCAUAUCAAUAACCGGAGGA